This 1133-nucleotide long non-coding RNA is filed under the name Nicotiana benthamiana. Its description in RNAcentral is "long non-coding RNA (NBEN_LNC015560)". The record is from RNAcentral. Lineage: Eukaryota; Viridiplantae; Streptophyta; Magnoliopsida; Solanales; Solanaceae.
CUCGAACAGCUUUACCAGCUCGCAUAGUCCUAGCAAGAAAUAAGCUCAGGCCAAAUGUCCGCCUGCAUUCCCUUCAGCAUUUUGACAGUCUUCAAUCCUCUUGAUAAACUUCCCUUCCAACUCUACUAGACCCCGGUCCAAAUACCCUAGUCUCUUGUUGGCGCUGACAACCAUAUCUUUCCACUCCUCAAUCAACUUUUGAUGGGCUUUUUGUAUUUCCCGAUGCUCAUUUUCACACUCUCAAAUCCUCUUGCGCAAUUAAUUGUACUUAACCGGUGCUUCAGCUUUCUCAUCGAUGACUCUGUGGCCUCAGUUGAACCCGGGAUAACCCAUACCAUUGUGAUUAGUUUCCAACAAACCUAAAUAGUGAGGCACACAACCGGCGUGAUAACUGUCUGGCUCAAUAUAUUAUUUUCCCAAAAUGAGUUUGUAAUGCCACAUGUGUUAAGCUUUGCACUUGUGAGGGCUAUCAUUGUUCUGGAAGUCAACGCUGAAGUGACUCAUUUUGUUGACCCUUGGUAUGAUUUGCUUUCUUCCAGCCUGCCUCAUGGCUUGAAAGGGAAUGUAGGGAUAAGUUCCUUUUAGACCAAUGAGUAUUAGAAAUUGUGUGUCUCGGGAUAUAACAAUGAAUUCUUCUAUAGGGAACCACUUGGCCAUCGAUUAUACCUGGUCUUCUUUCAGAUUCUCAAAUAACUCAACCCAUCUCCAACGUCAUCUGGCUAAACGAACAUGUAAGGCAUAUAAUUUAUACGCCUUAGCUGGUGGAAGGCAAUGUGAUCAUCCCAGCCUCUGCAUAGGAUCUCUUACCGGUAAUCUCCUUUUUGGAGGUGCUCCAUGAGACAGAGCUAAAGUAAUAAGUUGCAACCUUGAAAAUGAUUGGCCCUUUGCUGACAGAUGUCCAAGGCUCUGUAUAUUCUAGCACUGAUCAUGGGCACUAUAUUGAAAGGCUGCCCGCCAAUUCCUUCCAUCAGAGUUUUGGUUAACAUAUCCAGUCUGGUGUGGAUCCUAGCCUUCUUUAUAGGGAACACUAUCAUCCCCACGAAACAAAACAUGAAUAGGAAGACCCUUCUGUGAAUAUGCCCUAAUGAGGUGAGGGCGAAUUUGUCUGAGCAGGUGCGAUAUGACUUUCUAUG